GACGAACGCUGGCGGCGUGCUUAACACAUGCAAGUCGAACGAUGACGACCGAGCUUGCUCGGUCUGAUUAGUGGCGAACGGGUGAGUAACACGUGAGCAACCUGCCCUUCACUCUGGGAUAACCUCGGGAAAUCGGGGCUAAUACCGGAUAUGAGCUCCUGUCGAAUGGCGGGUGUUGGAAAGUUUUUCGGUGAAGGAUGGGCUCGCGGCCUAUCAGUUUGUUGGUGAGGUAGUGGCUCACCAAGGCGAUGACGGGUAGCCGGCCUGAGAGGGCGACCGGCCACACUGGGACUGAGACACGGCCCAGACUCCUACGGGAGGCAGCAGUGGGGAAUAUUGCACAAUGGGCGAAAGCCUGAUGCAGCGACGCCGCGUGAGGGAUGACGGCCUUCGGGUUGUAAACCUCUUUCAGCAGGGAAGAAGCGAAAGUGACGGUACCUGCAGAAGAAGCGCCGGCUAACUACGUG
RNAcentral lists this ribosomal RNA (467 nucleotides) under uncultured bacterium. Its description in RNAcentral is "partial 16S ribosomal RNA". It matches the Rfam family "Bacterial small subunit ribosomal RNA", at positions 28 to 507 of the family's 1533-position model. The record is from RNAcentral.